GAGUUUGAUCCUGGCUCAGAUUGAACGCUGGCGGCAGGCCUAACACAUGCAAGUCGAGCGGUAACAGAGAGAAGCUUGCUUCUUUGCUGACGAGCGGCGGACGGGUGAGUAACGCGUAGGAAUCUACCGAUUAGUGGGGGAUAGCCCAGGGAAACUUGGAUUAAUACCGCAUACGCCCUACGGGGAAAAGCGGGGGAUCUUCGGACCUCGCGCUAAUCGAUGAGCCUGCGUAAGAUUAGCUAGUUGGUGAGGUAAGAGCUCACCAAGGCGACGAUCUUUAGCUGGUCUGAGAGGAUGAUCAGCCACACUGGGACUGAGACACGGCCCAGACUCCUACGGGAGGCAGCAGUGGGGAAUAUUGGA
RNAcentral lists this ribosomal RNA (363 nucleotides) under uncultured bacterium. RNAcentral's name for it is "bacterial SSU rRNA". It matches the Rfam family "Bacterial small subunit ribosomal RNA", at positions 9 to 368 of the family's 1533-position model. The record is from RNAcentral.